GUCUACAGCCAUGGCACCCUAAACGUGACUGAUCUCGUCUGAUCUUGGAAGCUCAUCAGGGUCAGGCCUGGUUAGUACUUGGAUGGAGACCACCUAGGAAUACCAGGUGCUAAUGCCU
This 118-nucleotide ribosomal RNA is filed under the name Pteropus alecto (black flying fox). Lineage: Eukaryota; Metazoa; Chordata; Mammalia; Chiroptera; Pteropodidae. The record is from RNAcentral.